GGCUUCGUGGCCUAAUGGCUAGGGCGCUAGAUUUCGGUGUUCAUAACACUCCUCUAGAGAUUGUCGGUUCGAGUCCGGCCGAAGUCG
Xylaria intraflava is the source of this 87-nucleotide non-coding RNA. The record is from the annotation of a GenBank genome assembly. NCBI's taxonomy places the organism in Eukaryota, Fungi, Ascomycota, Sordariomycetes, Xylariales, Xylariaceae.